Molecule: ribosomal RNA, 444 nt
Filed under: Brassica oleracea var. viridis (kale)
Lineage: Eukaryota; Viridiplantae; Streptophyta; Magnoliopsida; Brassicales; Brassicaceae
Description: eukaryotic LSU rRNA
Rfam family: Eukaryotic large subunit ribosomal RNA (bases 279-444)
Source: RNAcentral
AAUUGCAGAAUCCCGUGAACCAUCGAGUCUUUGAACGCAAGUUGCGCCCCAAGCCUUCUGGCCGAGGGCACGUCUGCCUGGGUGUCACAAAUCGUCGUCCCCCAAUCCUCUCGAGGAUAUCGGACGGAAGCUGGUCUCCCGUGUGUUACCGCACGCGGUUGGCCAAAAUCCUAGCUAAGGAUGCCAGGAGCGUCUUGACAUGCGGUGGUGAAUUCAAUUCUCGUCAAAUCGUCAGUCGUUUCGGUCCGAAAGCUCUUGAUGACCCAAAGUCCUCAACGCGACCCCAGGUCAGGCGGGAUCACCCGCUGAGUUUAAGCAUAUCAAUAAGCGGAGGAAAAGAAACUAACAAGGAUUCCCUUAGUAACGGCGAGCGAACCGGGAAGAGCCCAGCUUGAAAAUCGGACGUCUUCGGCGUUCGAAUUGUAGUCUGGAGAAGCGUCCUCA